This 50-nucleotide ribosomal RNA is filed under the name Fusarium solani. RNAcentral describes it as "partial 28S ribosomal RNA". Lineage: Eukaryota; Fungi; Ascomycota; Sordariomycetes; Hypocreales; Nectriaceae. RNAcentral also lists the same sequence under 1 other name. The record is from RNAcentral.
UUGACCUCGAAUCAGGUAGGAAUACCCGCUGAACUUAAGCAUAUCAAUAG